GACGAACGCUGGCGGCGUGCUUAACACAUGCAAGUCGAACGGAAAGGCCCUGCUUUUGUGGGGUGCUCGAGUGGCGAACGGGUGAGUAACACGUGAGUAACCUGCCCUUGACUUUGGGAUAACUUCAGGAAACUGGGGCUAAUACCGGAUAGGAGCUCCUGCUGCAUGGUGGGGGUUGGAAAGUUUCGGCGGUUGGGGAUGGACUCGCGGCUUAUCAGCUUGUUGGUGGGGUAGUGGCUUACCAAGGCUUUGACGGGUAGCCGGCCUGAGAGGGUGACCGGCCACAUUGGGUCUGAGAUACGGCCCAGACUCCUACGGGAGGCAGCAGCGGGGAAUAUUGCACAAUGGGCGGAAGCCUGAUGCAGCAACGCCGCGUGCGGGAUGACGGCCUUCGGGUUGUAAACCGCUUUCGCCUGUGACGAAGCGUGAGUGACGGUAAUGGGUAAAGAAGCACCGGCUAACUACGUGCCAGCAGCCGCGGUGAUACGUAGGGUGCGAGCGUUGUCCGGAUUUAUUGGGCGUAAAGGGCUCGUAGGUGGUUGAUCGCGUCGGAAGUGUAAUCUUGGGGCUUAACCCUGAGCGUGCUUUCGAUACGGGUUGACUUGAGGAAGGUAGGGGAGAAUGGAAUUCCUGGUGGAGCGGUGGAAUGCGCAGAUAUCAGGAGGAACACCAGUGGCGAAGGCGGUUCUCUGGGCCUUUCCUGACGCUGAGGAGCGAAAGCGUGGGGAGCGAACAGGCUUAGAUACCCUGGUAGUCCACGCUGUAAACGGUGGGUACUAGGUGUGGGGUCCAUUCCACGGGUUCCGUGCCGUAGCUAACGCUUUAAGUACCCCGCCUGGGGAGUACGGCCGCAAGGCUAAAACUCAAAGGAAUUGACGGGGCCCCGCACAAGCGGCGGAGCAUGCGGAUUAAUUCGAUGCAACGCGUAGAACCUUACCUGGGUUUGACAUGGAUCGGGAGUGCUCAGAGAUGGGUGUGCCUCUUUUGGGGUCGGUUCACAGGUGGUGCAUGCCUGUCGUCAGCUCGUGUCGUGAGAUGUUGGGUUAAGUCCCGCAACGAGCGCAACCCUUGUUCACUGUUGCCAGCACGUUAUGGUGGGGACUCAGUGGAGACCGCCGGGGUCAACUCGGAGGAAGGUGGGGAUGACGUCAAGUCAUCAUGCCCCUUAUGUCCAGGGCUUCACGCAUGCUACAAUGGCUGGUACAGAGAGUGGCGAGCCUGUGAGGGUGAGCGAAUCUCGGAAAGCCGGUCUCAGUUCGGAUUGGGGUCUGCAACUCGACCUCAUGAAGUCGGAGUCGCUAGUAAUCGCAGAUCAGCAACGCUGCGGUGAAUACGUUCCCGGGGCU
RNAcentral lists this ribosomal RNA (1346 nucleotides) under uncultured bacterium. RNAcentral's name for it is "partial 16S ribosomal RNA". It matches the Rfam family "Bacterial small subunit ribosomal RNA", at positions 28 to 1381 of the family's 1533-position model. The record is from RNAcentral.